UACGGGGGGGGCAAGCGUUGUUCGGAAUUACUGGGCGUAAAGGGCUCGUAGGUGGCCAACUAAGUCAGACGUGAAAUCCCUCGGCUUAACCGGGGAACUGCGUCUGAUACUGAAUGGCUUGAGGUUGGGAGAGGGAUGCGGAAUUCCAGGUGUAGCGGUGAAAUGCGUAGAUAUCUGGAGGAACACCGGUGGCGAAGGCGGCAUCCUGGACCAAUUCUGACGCUGAGGAGCGAAAGCCAGGGGAGCAAACGGG
RNAcentral lists this ribosomal RNA (253 nucleotides) under uncultured bacterium. RNAcentral's name for it is "partial 16S ribosomal RNA". It matches the Rfam family "Bacterial small subunit ribosomal RNA", at positions 524 to 776 of the family's 1533-position model. The record is from RNAcentral.